This 238-nucleotide long non-coding RNA is filed under the name Linum usitatissimum (flax). RNAcentral describes it as "long non-coding RNA (LUSI_LNC001392)". Lineage: Eukaryota; Viridiplantae; Streptophyta; Magnoliopsida; Malpighiales; Linaceae. The record is from RNAcentral.
UAAAGGACGUCAUUGUCUGGAUGGCAAUAGAUAUUAAUGGUUGUUGCAAACAAAUCUAUUAAUCAAUGGGAAGAAGUCAAUGAAACUACAAAUAUUCCAUUCUCAACUACACAUACAUCCCUAGUCCCUCUCAUCUCCACUUUCAUAAACAAACUACUAAGGUAAAAUAAAAAGUGAAAUCCUUGGGCACAAACAUACCUUAUAACUUUGUUAAUAUCUUCUUCGUCGUCUACUUGAU